GAUCAUGGCUCAGGAUGAACGCUAGCUACAGGCUUAACACAUGCAAGUCGGAGGGGCAGCAUGAACUUAGCUUGCUAAGUUUGAUGGCGACCGGCGCACGGGUGAGUAACACGUAUCCAACCUGCCGAUGACGUCGGGGAUAGCCUUUCGAAAGAAAGAUUAAUACCCGAUGGCAUAGUUCUUCCGCAUGGUGGAACUAUUAAAGAAUUUCGGUCAUCGAUGGGGAUGCGUUCCAUUUAGGG
RNAcentral lists this ribosomal RNA (242 nucleotides) under uncultured bacterium. Its description in RNAcentral is "partial 16S ribosomal RNA". It matches the Rfam family "Bacterial small subunit ribosomal RNA", at positions 15 to 246 of the family's 1533-position model. The record is from RNAcentral.